GCUCAGGAUGAACGCUGGCGGCGUGCCUAACACAUGCAAGUCGAACGAAGCAAUUAAAGGAAGUUUUCGGAUGGAAUUUGAUCGACUGAGUGGCGGACGGGUGAGUAACGCGUGGAUAACCUGCCUCACACUGGGGGAUAACAGUUAGAAAUGACUGCUAAUACCGCAUAAGCGCACAGUGCCGCAUGGUACGGUGUGAAAAACUCCGGUGGUGUGAGAUGGAUCCGCGUCUGAUUAGCCAGUUGGCGGGGUAACGGCCCACCAAAGCGACGAUCAGUAGCCGACCUGAGAGGGUGACCGGCCACAUUGGGACUGAGACACGGCCCAAACUCCUACGGGAGGCAGCAGUA
This 350-nucleotide ribosomal RNA is filed under the name uncultured bacterium. Its description in RNAcentral is "bacterial SSU rRNA". It matches the Rfam family "Bacterial small subunit ribosomal RNA", at positions 22 to 356 of the family's 1533-position model. The record is from RNAcentral.